RNAcentral lists this transfer RNA (73 nucleotides) under ANME-2 cluster archaeon. RNAcentral's name for it is "tRNA-Thr". It matches the Rfam family "tRNA". From Rfam's summary of the family: Transfer RNA (tRNA) molecules are approximately 80 nucleotides in length. Their secondary structure includes four short double-helical elements and three loops (D, anti-codon, and T loops). The record is from RNAcentral. RNAcentral also lists the same sequence under 2 other names. Lineage: Archaea; Methanobacteriati; Methanobacteriota; Methanomicrobia; Methanosarcinales.
GCCGCCGUGGCUUAGCAGGAAAAGCGGCUGAUUCGUAAUCAGCAGAUCGUGGGUUCAAAUCCCACCGGCGGCU